GGGGGGCAUCCAAAAGCUGAGAUGUUUCCCGAUACAAUCUUCCUACAGAAAACUCUGUAGUUUCCUGCAUGUGGUACUUGAGAAAGUUCCGCAAGUCUCAGAUAUCCAGAAAUAUUA
RNAcentral lists this small nucleolar RNA (117 nucleotides) under Cephalotus follicularis. Its description in RNAcentral is "Small nucleolar RNA snoR104". It matches the Rfam family "Small nucleolar RNA snoR104". Lineage: Eukaryota; Viridiplantae; Streptophyta; Magnoliopsida; Oxalidales; Cephalotaceae. The record is from Rfam by way of RNAcentral.